AACAAGGCGUACCUGCGGACCUGCGGAGGGAUCAUUACAAGUGACCCCGGUCUAACCACCGGGAUGUUCAUAACCCUUUGUUGUCCGACUCUGUUGCCUCCGGGGCGACCCUGCCUUCGGGCGGGGGCUCCGGGUGGACACUUCAAACUCUCGCGUAACUUUGCAGUCUGAGUAAACUUAAUUAAUAAAUUAAAACUUUCAACAACGGAUCU
RNAcentral lists this unclassified non-coding RNA (212 nucleotides) under soil metagenome. RNAcentral's name for it is "partial contains 5.8S ribosomal RNA, internal transcribed spacer 2, and large subunit ribosomal RNA". The record is from RNAcentral.